GAUGAACGCUGGCGGCGUGCCUAAUACAUGCAAGUCGAGCGAACAGACGAGGAGCUUGCUCCUCUGACGUUAGCGGCGGACGGGUGAGUAACACGUGGAUAACCUACCUAUAAGACUGGGAUAACUUCGGGAAACCGGAGCUAAUACCGGAUAAUAUAUUGAACCGCAUGGUUCAAUAGUGAAAGACGGUUUUGCUGUCACUUAUAGAUGGAUCCGCGCCGCAUUAGCUAGUUGGUAAGGUAACGGCUUACCAAGGCAACGAUGCGUAGCCGACCUGAGAGGGUGAUCGGCCACACUGGAACUGAAACACGGUCCAGACUCCUACGGGAGGCAGCAGUAGGGAAUCUGCCGCAAUGGGCGAAAGCCUGACGGAGCAACGCCGCGUGAGUGAUGAAGGUCUUCGGAUCGUAAAACUCUGUUAUUAGGGAAGAACAAAUGUGUAAGUAACUAUGCACGUCUUGACGGUACCUAAUCAGAAAGCCACGGCUAACUACGUG
This 497-nucleotide ribosomal RNA is filed under the name uncultured bacterium. RNAcentral describes it as "partial 16S ribosomal RNA". It matches the Rfam family "Bacterial small subunit ribosomal RNA", at positions 28 to 507 of the family's 1533-position model. The record is from RNAcentral.